UUUAUUACAUAAAACACAGACAUGUAACAUAUCCCCAGAUAGCUCAGGUCUGAGCGCACAUUAUUAAGCGAAUGGCGCUCAGACCACACGAAUACAGUUUAAUCGCCAUGGAGCCAAAGUCUUUACAGUCAGUUUCAUACGAAUGGGCUCCAUGGGAUUCCUAUAUGGGGUAUAACACAUUCAAACAAAACUACCGAACACCGGGCCGUUCGUGCACUUCCACCGAACAAGAAGGGAGGUCGGCGGCUUCAGCGGUGUUCGCGCAAAACUGUGUCCGAUUUUAGUUCCAUGAAAAUAGGGGCGAACACCGCUGUGCAUUCGCAUGUUUAAAAUGGCCGUGACCUCGUGUUCGGGAUACGAAUGGCGGCCACCCAGCAUUCGUCAAUUAAGCUGCGGUUAAUCGCAGCUUCAGGGAGGUUAACUGCCGCCACACUCCAGCUCCCAGGUGGUCUAUUCAUUUGCGCGGUUGUUCGGUAGAUUGAAUCUACCGAACAACCGGCAGAAAAGCACGAAUACAGCUUUUCUGCAGGCAAAAUAAAGUCUUUUAAAAGGGGGCCAUAGUCCAGAGGAAGCAGGCGAGCAACCAGUCUUCUCCAAAGCAAUGUGGCGAGAUUGGUCUCGUCACAUCGCUGUAUUUGUUUAUCGAUGUAUAUCAUUUUAUGUAUCCACACGUUAUAUGACAUUUCUUCUGUAAUGCCUAUUAAAC
Molecule: long non-coding RNA, 706 nt
Filed under: Pelobates cultripes (western spadefoot toad)
Lineage: Eukaryota; Metazoa; Chordata; Amphibia; Anura; Pelobatidae
Source: RNAcentral